UGGAAAUUCCGAUGACCUUGUUCGGGCAUCCAGCGCGGGAACUAGCAGCGGCGGCGGCGGAGGCGAUACCACACCGCCGUCACCACCACGGCUUCCGGUGGCACCACCGACGUCUCCCUCCCGCGUCCCUGGGGCGCCUUCCACAUCACCACCCCCGCUUCAACCGCCACUUGCCCCGCCGCGUGCCGCCGACAGGGAUACGGAUAUGGCGCGGUCGUGGUUAGUUAUUAGUUUCUUGGACGCAGGAUUGGGCGCGGUCGUGUGUUCUUCGAAUUGGUGCGAUUCUUGCAUGGGUUUGUUUGAUACUCGCGGACUCUGUUCUGUGUAAUUUCUGAAUUGGUUUGUAGAGGAGGGGGAAACGGUGGGAUCUUCUACUUUGUCCGAAUUUGUUUUCUGCUAGUACUUGGUGUAAUCGGAUGGCUUGGUAGCGAAUGUUCUUCCAUUUUCUGAGAUCGAGGACCAGAUAAUGGGGAUUUAAGGGAAGAGUAAAAUGACGAGGUGAAACUUUGUGCUCCUAUUCUGCUAUUUCUCAGUCCAAUUCCGUGUCUUGAUAACUCGGGUUCUUGGCCCCUUGUCCCAGUUGUAAUUGUUGAUUGUAUGUUUGUUUCCUUGCUGACACUAUUCAUUGGACUCCGAGUCAGUUGUUAUGGGUGCUACUGGUCUUGCUUUUUGUAAUAGCCCAUUCACUGAAUUUGUGCUGGAAAGUUUUCUGUACAAGGAUGCCCUCCAAUUAUUUAGGGUGCAGGUCCGAUGAUUAGAGUUUGGGCUAUAAGAGAAGCUCUUUACUUAGGCUUAAUUAAGUUUUACUCCAAGCAAAUUUCAUCUGUCUGGUGCUUUUACACCUUGUGAUCGAUGAUCCUUUACAUAUAUACUGAAACAUAGGUGCAUGUUUUUACUGUUUACUUGUUCACUGUAUUUGUACUGGAAAGUGUUUUUCUACAAGAAAUUUCCCCCC
Non-coding RNA from Lolium perenne, 955 nucleotides. The record is from RefSeq and is a predicted model, not a curated record. Lineage: Eukaryota; Viridiplantae; Streptophyta; Magnoliopsida; Poales; Poaceae.